Oncorhynchus keta (chum salmon) is the source of this 1503-nucleotide long non-coding RNA. RefSeq lists it as uncharacterized. Lineage: Eukaryota; Metazoa; Chordata; Actinopteri; Salmoniformes; Salmonidae. The record is from RefSeq and is a predicted model, not a curated record. The transcript has 3 exons.
UUCUAUAUACUGGUGAUCCUGGAGUCACUCUGUCUGUUACAGGUACAGUAACAUUCUAUAUACUGGUGAUCCUGGAGUCACUCUGUCUGUUACAGGUACAGUUACAUUCUAUAUACUGGUGAUCCUGGAGUCACUCUGUUUGUUACAGGUACAGUAACAUUCUAUAUACUGGCGAUCCUGGAGUCACUCUGUUACAGGUACAGUUACAUUCUAUAUACUGGAGAUCCUGGAGUCACUCUGUCUGUUACAGGUACAGUUACAUUCUAUAUACUGGUGAUCCUGGAGUCACUCUGUCUGUUACAGGUACAGUAACAUUCUAUAUACUGGUGAUCCUGGAGUCACUCUGUCUGUUACAGGUACAGUAACAUUCUAUAUACUGGUGAUCCUGGAGUCACUCUGUCUGUUACAGGUACAGUAACAUUCUAUAUACUGGUGAUCCUGGAGUCACUCUGUCUGUAACAGGUACAGUAACAUUCUAUAUACUGGUGAUCCUGGAGUCACUCUGUCUGUUACAGGUACAGUAACAUUCUAUAUACUGGUGAUCCUGGAGUCACUCUGUCUGUUACAGGUACAGUAACAUUCUAUAUACUGGAGAUCCUGGAGUCACUCUGUCUGUUACAGGUAAAGUAACAUUCUAUAUACUGGUGAUCCUGGAGUCACUCUGUCUGUUACAGGUACAGUAACAUUCUAUAUACUGGUGAUCCUGGAGUCACUCUGUCUGUUACAGGUACAGUAACAUUCUAUAUACUGGUGAUCCUGGAGUCACUCUGUCUGUUACAGGUACAGUAACAUUCUAUAUACUGGUGAUCCUGGAGUCACUCUGUCUGUAACAGGUACAGUAACAUUCUAUAUACUGGUGAUCCUGGAGUCACUCUGUCUGUUACAGGUACAGUAACAUUCUAUAUACUGGUGAUCCUGGAGUCACUCUGUCUGUUACAGGUACAGUAACAUUCUAUAUACUGGUGAUCCUGGAGUCACUCUGUCUGUUACAGGUACAGUUACAUUCUAUAUACUGGUGAUCCUGGAGUCACUCUGUUUGUUACAGGUACAGUAACAUUCUAUAUACUGGCGAUCCUGGAGUCACUCUGUUACAGGUACAGUUACAUUCUAUAUACUGGAGAUCCUGGAGUCACUCUGUCUGUAACAGGUACAGUAACAUUCUAUAUACUGGUGAUCCUGGAGUCACUCUGUCUGUUACAGGUACAGUAACAUUCUAUAUACUGGUGAUCCUGGAGUCACUCUGUCUGUUACAGGUACAGUAACAUUCUAUAUACUGGUGAUCCUGGAGUCACUCUGUCUGUUACAGGUACAGUAACAUUCUAUAUACUGGUGAUCCUGGAGUCACUCUGUCUGUUACAGGUACAGUAACAUUCUAUAUACUGGUGAUCCUGGAGUCACUCUGUCUGUUACAGGUACAGUAACAUUCUAUAUACUGGUGAUCCUGGAGUCACUCUGUUUGUUACAGGUACAGUAACAUUCUAUAUACUGGCGAUCCUGGAGUCA